Triticum dicoccoides is the source of this 1215-nucleotide long non-coding RNA. RefSeq lists it as uncharacterized. The record is from RefSeq and is a predicted model, not a curated record. Lineage: Eukaryota; Viridiplantae; Streptophyta; Magnoliopsida; Poales; Poaceae. The transcript is spliced from 5 exons.
CUGAUUCAUCUUAUCUCCCCCACCUCGCCGCCACCCACCGCCUCCCCUUCCUUCUCCGGCCCACCUCGCCGCCGGCCCUCCCCAUCCUCUUCUCCCACCUCGCGGCUCUGGAGGCUGUAGGAUCCGCAACAUCCCCUUCCCACCCACCCCUCUCGCGCCCAUCUUUCUCUCUUCACGCUGCUCCUUGCUGCGCCACCCACGGCGGAUGAUUCAGACGAAGCCCGGCGAAUCCCGCCACCACGAAGCACAGCCCGAGCUCCCCUCUCACCGCAGCACCCUCCCAUCCAGCUAGAUCUGGUGCUUGAGGCCAACAAAGCCCACCCGUCGUUAUAUAACCUCUUCUCUUCUCUUGUAGACGUGUAGGGAGGAAUGGCCAGUGGACAACAUUGUUGCUGCUCGGGAUGAAGCAGACAUGGAUCAGGUGAGUCGUUCCACUUCUCCUCUCCGCUCUGGUUCGUGGCACAUCAGGAGCCAUUGUUGUUCUGGCGGUGUUAUGAUUUGCCACUGUUUGGGCCCAAGUGCUUGCUGCAUGUGAUCAAUUUGAUUUUGUUGUGCUCCUAAAGUGUUGAUUGAUGCUUCGAUUGAACUGCAAGAUUAACCCCUUGUGCUGCCACCAUAGAUUCGAUGAAGUAGGGCAAACUUAUUGCAGGUAUCCAAUGAGCAAGAAGGAAGUUGGUUUUCGUUUCUGAGAAUUUUUAUGUUGUGCUCAUGCAAUUUGAGACGUAAGCUCUAGUGAGAAAGUGCAGCCUACAGGCUGAUUCAGCACAAUGAUGCUUGGAUGCGGUCCUGGAGGCAUAAAAGACACAUGAUGUUCACAAUCAUGGUGGCAGCAAGAUUGCGCGUACAUCUAUUGAUCGGUUCAUAAUGAGCUCCAAAACAGAGAAGCGUCAUGGUGUACCAUGGCUUGAGGAGAUGCAUAUGUCGGAAUUUUUGUGUAUUGCUGGAACAUGGUUUGCAUCACUACAUUCUAAGUUUAUAAUGUGAAGGUGGACAGAUCAGCCUAAUUACUAACGGAAUUUGAUACCUUUCAACGAGACGAUUCAGAAGAUAUAUGGAUGAUUAUAUGGGUGCGUGGCAAGUAUACUGCAAUGAUGAUGAUGAUGGAUGCUUUUGGUUUUAGUUAAGUAGUAUGGAUGUUGUUGAUGUUGUUGGAUGAUGUUCCUCAGUUACGUAUUAGUUUAGUUGUAGGGAUGUUGAUGGAUUAUGUCAGUCAAA